AGUGGCGGACGGGUGAGUAACGCGUGAGGAACCUGCCUCAAAGAGGGGGACAACAGUUGGAAACGACUGCUAAUACCGCAUAAGCCCACGGGUCGGCAUCGACCAGAGGGAAAAGGAGCAAUCCGCUUUGAGAUGGCCUCGCGUCCGAUUAGCUAGUUGGUGAGGUAACGGUCCACCAAGGCGACGAUCGGUAGCCGGACUGAGAGGUUGAACGGCCACAUUGGGACUGAGACACGGCCCAGACUCCUACGGGAGGCAGCAGUGGGGAAUAUUGCACAAUGGGGGAAACCCUGAUGCAGCGACGCCGCGUGGAGGAAGAAGGUCUUCGGAUUGUAAACUCCUGUUGUUGGGGAAGAUAAUGACGGUACCCAACAAGGAAGUGACGGCUAACUACGUGCCAGCAGCCGCGGUAAAACGUAGGUCACAAGCGUUGUCCGGAAUUACUGGGUGUAAAGGGAGCGCAGGCGGGAAGACAAGUUGGAAGUGAAAUCUAUGGACUCAACCCAUAAACUGCUUUCAAAACUGUUUUUCUUGAGUAGUGCAGAGGUAGGCGGAAUUCCCGGUGUAGCGGUGGAAUGCGUAGAUAUCGGGAGGAACACCAGUGGCGAAGGCGGCCUACUGGGCAUCAACUGACGCUGAGGCUCGAAAGUGUGGGUAGCAAACAGGAUUAGAUACCCUGGUAGUCCACACCGUAAACGAUGAUUACUAGGUGUUGGAGGAUUGACCCCUUCAGUGCCGCAGUUAACACAAUAAGUAAUCCACCUGGGGAGUACGACCGCAAGGUUGAAACUCAAAGGAAUUGACGGGGGCCCGCACAAGCAGUGGAGUAUGUGGUUUAAUUCGACGCAACGCGAAGAACCUUACCAAGUCUUGACAUCCCUUGACAGGCAUAGAAAUAUGUAUUCUCUUCGGAGCAAGGAGACAGGUGGUGCAUGGUUGUCGUCAGCUCGUGUCGUGAGAUGUUGGGUUAAGUCCCGCAACGAGCGCAACCCUUAUGGUCAGUUACUACGCAAGAGGACUCUGGCCAGACUGCCGUUGACAAAACGGAGGAAGGUGGGGAUGACGUCAAAUCAUCAUGCCCUUUAUGACUUGGGCUACACACGUACUACAAUGGCGUUAAACAAAGAGAAGCAAGACCGCGAGGUGGAGCAAAACUCAGAAACAACGUCCCAGUUCGGACUGCAGGCUGCAACUCGCCUGCACGAAGUCGGAAUUGCUAGUAAUCGUGGAUCAGCAUGCCACGGUGAAUACGUUCCCGGGCCUUGCACACACCGCCCGUCA
This 1281-nucleotide ribosomal RNA is filed under the name uncultured bacterium. RNAcentral describes it as "bacterial SSU rRNA". It matches the Rfam family "Bacterial small subunit ribosomal RNA", at positions 94 to 1399 of the family's 1533-position model. The record is from RNAcentral.